Molecule: ribosomal RNA, 414 nt
Filed under: uncultured microorganism
Description: bacterial SSU rRNA
Rfam family: Archaeal small subunit ribosomal RNA
Source: RNAcentral
CAGCCGCCGCGGUAAUACCGGCGGCCCGAGUGGCGGUCACUAUUAUUGGGCUUAAAGCGUCCGUAGCCGGGUUGGGAAGUCCUCCGGGAAAUCUGGCCGCUUAACGGUCAGAAUGCCGGAGGAUACUCCCAGCCUAGGGAGCGGGAGAGGCCGAGGGUAUUCCCGGAGUAGGGGUGAAAUCCUAUAAUCCCGGGAGGACCACCUGUGGCGAAGGCGCUCGGCUGGGACGCGUCCGACGGUGAGGGACGAAGGCCAGGGGAGCAAACCGGAUUAGAUACCCGGGUAGUCCUGGCUGUAAACGAUACGGACUUUGUGUCGGACAAGCUAUGAGCUUGUCCGGUGCCGGAGGGAAACCGUUAAGUCCGCCGCCUGGGGAGUACGGCCGCAAGGCUGAAACUUAAAGGAAUUGGCGGG